UAGAAGGGCCGCGGGAGCGCAGGACGGCGCGCCGGUACUUCACUGUGGGCCAUGGAACGAGCUGCAGUCAUCAUGCUUCUCGUCCUGCGGCUCUGAGCUGUCCUUGUUCACAGAAUACUGCACGCCGGCAGUUUCAGUAACAUUAAAUCAACUGGGCUGUUAGGUGGCCUGGCCUUCCUGCUUCAGGCAUAGUCAAGUCUCCACAAUGUGACUUUUACAGGCAGGCAUCUGUUCAUUUUUCAUCACUGAGCAAAGCUGGAAGUCUUGACACUUGUCAAUAUUGCAUUCCCGGGACACAAUCGGCGUGCGAGUCGCCCAGUGUGGCGUUGAGUGAAUUAAGACUUGCGCUUGGUGGCCAAACUUCCUGGAUAGGGCCUCCCGGCCAACGAUGCCAUACGCUCAUUUCAUAUUUUUCCUGGGACACACAAUUCAGCCACUUACAUUAGAGCAGUUAUGGAAAAUACAAGUGAAACAAAUGGAUGCUAUGUUCUCACACAAGAUACUGAUGUCUGGAGACAGUCAGUGCACGGAAUUCGAGAUUUAGACCUUACAAUUUGUGACUACCCUGGCACCAAGGCAGCUAACUACCUAUGCUCCUGCCAGACAAGACUGGUUCACAAUCUGGAAGUGAAGUGACAUCUGAUGGCUUUGCACCAACCUUUAUACUGAGCCAUAAUUCGCAGAUUGGCCAUGGUAGCGCCACAAUCGAGAGCUGGAGCGGAAAAUGUUGAACACCAACCUGAGAAAAAUUUGUGUCAGUUUCAGCAAAAGAAAAAAAAGGAGAAUUUCGCACCAACUUUUUUGGGAAAGAACAAGAGCAGAUUGGUGACAUCGGUUCUCAUCCAGAUUCAUGCCAUACACCAGCGUUAGUGCCACCUUAAUGUCCACAAGAACGGGAGUAUACUAAUUUGUAUAUCUUUAGCUGUAAUUGGAUAGCAUGAAUAAGUAGUAGACUUAGAUGGAAUGAGUAGGACUGAAGUGAAUGCGUAGUGUAUGCCGACUUAGUAUUUUUUGUGCAUGAAAGGUUAUGGGAAAUUAACACUACCCUAUCAUACAGUACAUCGGUUCUCAUCCAGAUUCAUGCCAUACACCAGCGUUAGUGCCACCUUAAUGUCCACAAGAAUGGGAGUAUACUAAUUCGUAUAUCUUUAGCAGUAAUUGGAUAGCAUGAAUAAGUAGUAGACUUAGAUGGAAUGAGUAUGACUGAAGUGAAUGCAUAGUGUAUGCCGUCUUAGUAUUUUUUGUGCAUCAAAGGUUAUGAGAAAUGAACACUACACUAUCAUACAGUACAACACCUCACCACCACUUAAGAUUACAAAGAAAUUUAAUCAUUUAAAAUUAUCACUGUAAUAAUAUCAAAUUAUUUAUGUAAUAGAAUAGGAUUAUAUAUUAGGCAUUGUCAACCCUUUUAUUCUUUUAUUCUGUGAGGAAUCUUUCAUUAUAAUUCAUUGUAUUUAUGUUGUAAACACAUUUGUAAAACCACGGCACUGAAUCUCCUUGGAAGGAUUGUGCAGACUAUUUGCGGCUGAGUUGAUGGGCAUGUGUGAGGCAUUUUGGAGAGGUUGCUGACCUGCUGAGCGGCGGCAUCCGCUGAAGCGGACUGGGCAGAAGGGCCGGCACACAUGCUGGACGGUCAAGGCCACACGGCAGUCCUGCGAGGAUGGCAGACGCUGGAGGCGGUGGCCGACUUAGCGACCAGCAGGCAGCUGGUAGAUAUAUCUUCGGCGGCGUGAAAAAGGCCUCCAGCAGUCAACAGAGGCCUGGCGCGGGCGACAACGGAGCACUUUCACUGCCGGUGCUACUACAAGGUCCCGAGGGACCCUCCCAAUGAGUGGAAGCCCAAGACCGGAGCCAGCAGGACGCACUUGAGGUCUACUGAAUGAAUGUAUUACAUGUCUGGAGACAUGCUCGACCGGCGGGCAGCUGGUAGACAUGACAUCAUCAGGUGCGUGAAUAAGGGUCCGAAGCGGGCGAGCCCCCUCGGGCCUCCAGCUGUCAACAGGGGCCUGGCGCGGGCGACAAUGGAGCACUUUCACUGUCAGUGCUACUACAAGGUCCCGAGGGACCCUCCCAGUGAGUGGAAGCCCGAGACCGGAGCCGGCAGGAUGCACUUGUGGUCCGCUGAAUGAAGGUAUUACGUUUCUGGAGACACGCUCGACGGCGACGGCGGGAGGUGAUUCACUUCAAACCUGGUGUCCAAAUGCUGCACGGGUCUUCCCAUGAACGUCUUCGACAGCGGCCACGCAUUGCCGACCACCACGUCAUCCAAGACGGUCAGUAAACGAGACGCCAAUGAUUGCUGCCAGAGACAAGUUCCUGCUACACGGCGGGGCUGCCUGUACUGUACAUGCCAAGGAAAAAAAGCUGUAGCUCACCUUGGCAAACUCAUCCCACAUAGCUGCCACAUCCAACCUGUUGUCUGACAUGUGUAGUGCGAUGUUUUCGUGUGAAAAUUGCAAAUUUAUAAAAAUUAUUUUGGGCUCCCUAAAGACCGUUGAGAAGGGAGCGGUAGGAAGCUUUGUUCUGAUUGUUGCCUUAUGUAUGUUUCUUUUUUUUUUUUUUACAUGUCUGAUAUGUGCCUUACUGUUUCCAUCUUACACAUUUACAUGUUUUCUCUAUGUUUUACUAUCAAGUUUUAUUUUUGUUAAUGGACUCUUGUAUUAUUUUGGCAUUUGGUGUAAAGUUUCACUUGUUUUAUGACACUCAUAUGUUGUUAGGUUGUGUUGAUACUUAUAUGUUUACAUUUAAGGGACAGAUUUACACAUUUUAGAUAAAUAAGAAGCACAGAUAACUCUCAAAAUUUAACCUAGUAAUAGUUUCUUUUUGGAUGAAUGUGAAAGCGUGUGUAAUCAACGUUCUGUCAAGGAAUGAAUGUGGCAAUGUGUAUAAUUGGGCCGGGACAGUAAUUUUUCCAAGGGCAGAGAAUCCUCAAGACCACAAUAUUAUAUUCAAGUUAGGGAAUAACCUUCUCUGACCCCAACUUCAGGAUGAAUGAGUAGAUAAAUGUCUGCAUGGCCCUGUUUUCUCUAUGUUUUACUAUCAAGUUUUAUUUUUGUUAAUGGACUCUUGUAUUAUUUUGGCAUUUGGUGUAAAGUUUCACUUGUUUUAUGACACUCAUAUGUUGUUAGGUUGUGUUGAUACUUAUAUGUUUACAUUUAAGGGACAGAUUUACACAUUUUAGAUAAAUAAGAAGCACAGAUAACUCUCAAAAUUUAACCUAGUAAUAGUUUCUUUUUGGAUGAAUGUGAGAGCGUGUGUAAUCAACGUUCUGUCAAGGAAUGAAUGGGGCAAUGUGUAUAAUUGGGCCGGGACAGUAAUUUUUCCAAGGGCAGAGAAUCCUCAAGACCACAAUAUUAUAUUCAAGUUAGGGAAUAACCUUCUCUGACCCCAACUUGAGGAUGAAUGAGUAGAUAAAUGUCUGCAUGGCCCUGUAACUGUUUAAUAAUUGUUAUUUCAAUCUGGGUCUUCAAGAAAAUGACCCGAUGGUAUACUCAUCAAACUUUAUUUUUCAUUUAAUUUUGUGGGCAUGCAGCAGAGAGAGUAUGGAUGACCCCUGGUUGAAUGUGGUUAAGACAGGGUAUAGACCUGUGCUGGGAUUUAUGGUGUAGAAAUAUUGAUUCAUGUUCAUUUAUUUGAUAAUGCCUCUUCUAAGUGUCACAAUUUAUUCUGUUCCGUGUCACACUAACCUUUUAAAGUGCGACACUCCCCAUGAAUAAAUUUCAGAGAUACGGGGAUGUUGUGAGAGAUUGCAGGGCACUCUCACUUCUGAUUCGGUGUAGGGAAUACGAUCUACUGCGAUUUGACUUCAUACAUUAUGAUGAAAUGGUGGGCAGCAUUUUAUGGUCUUGUUUGCAUGCUCUAGGGAAGGAAAUACGGUAAGCUUUACCUGCUUUCAAAGGAACAGGGUGCUGACCUAAACGACUGCAGUAAAAGCACGGCGUUGGUGGGCCGACAAAGCGCGUUUUUUCUGGAGAACGGUGAGGAGACAUUUUCAGAUGGCACCCUGUUCUUUCGAACCAUAUUUUUCCUUUUUUUUUUUGUAUGGUAGAAUAUAGAUGCUUGGUGGUGGCGUAGUUUGAUGCCAUAACCUGGAUUCACGUGUAUGAAGUGAGAUAGAGCGAGUAGUGUUCUGGUUAGCGACGUGUGUCGAUCCCCAGCAGAUCACUUUGUCCACCAUAGAUCCCAGGUUAAUAAGGCGUUUGUUAAAUAAAAAUUUUUUUGUAUGAUGUUUCUUUAAUAAUUUUGUUGUCUUGUCAUGCUUAAGAUCAAUAAAUCGAUUGUGAAUUAGACUACAA
Molecule: long non-coding RNA, 4295 nt
Organism: Schistocerca nitens (vagrant locust)
Lineage: Eukaryota; Metazoa; Arthropoda; Insecta; Orthoptera; Acrididae
Exons: 5
Source: RefSeq, a predicted model, not a curated record